This 450-nucleotide ribosomal RNA is filed under the name uncultured bacterium. RNAcentral describes it as "partial 16S ribosomal RNA". It matches the Rfam family "Bacterial small subunit ribosomal RNA", at positions 338 to 795 of the family's 1533-position model. The record is from RNAcentral.
CCUACGGGUGGCUGCAGUGGGGAAUUUUGCGCAAUGGGCGAAAGCCUGACGCAGCAACGCCGCGUGGGUGAUGAAGGUCUUCGGAUCGUAAAACCCUGUCGUCAGGGACGAAGGUUGCAUGUCGAAUAGAUGUGCAGCUUGACGGUACCUGGAGAGGAAGCCCCGGCUAACUCUGUGCCAGCAGCCGCGGUAAUACAGAGGGGGCAAGCGUUGUUCGGAGUGAGUGUGGGGAAAGGGGGAAGUGGGGGGUGUAAUCCCCGGGCUUAACUUGGGAACUGCAUCUCAGACUGUGUCGCUAGAGUACUGGAGAGGGUGGUAGAAUUCCACGUGUAGCGGUGAAAUGCGUAGAGAUGUGGAGGAAUACCAGUGGCGAAGGCGGCCACCUGGACAGUAACUGACGCUGAGGCGCGAAAGUGUGGGGAGCAAACAGGAUUAGAUACCCUAGUAGUC